This 425-nucleotide ribosomal RNA is filed under the name uncultured bacterium. RNAcentral's name for it is "bacterial SSU rRNA". It matches the Rfam family "Bacterial small subunit ribosomal RNA", at positions 355 to 772 of the family's 1533-position model. The record is from RNAcentral.
UGGGGAAUUUUGGACAAUGGGGGCAACCCUGAUCCAGCAAUGCCGCGUGAGUGAAGAAGGCCUUCGGGUUGUAAAGCUCUUUUGUCAGGGAAGAAACGGUCUGGGCUAAUAUCCUGGGCUAAUGACGGUACCUGAAGAAUAAGCACCGGCUAACUUCGUGCCAGCAGCCGCGGUAAUACGAAGGGUGCAAGCGUUACUCGGAAUUACUGGGCGUAAAGCGUGCGUAGGUGGUGAGUUAAGUCUGUCGUGAAAGCCCCGGGCUCAACCUGGGAAUGGCGAUGGAUACUGGCUCGCUAGAGUGCGGUAGAGGAGAGUGGAAUUCCCGGUGUAGCAGUGAAAUGCGUAGAGAUCGGGAGGAACAUCAGUUGCGAAGGCGGCUCUCUGGACCAGCACUGACACUGAGGCACGAAAGCGUGGGGAGCAAA